AGCAGCCGCGGUAAUUCCAGCUCCAAUAGCGUAUAUUAAAGUUGUUGCAGUUAAAAAGCUCGUAGUUGAAUUUCGGGGUUCUACCGUUGGUCGGGCUUUGUCUGUACUGGCGUGUAGAAUCUCUACCUUCUGGGGAACUAUUAUGUUAUUAAUUUAGCGUAGUGGGAAACCAGGACCUUUACCUUGAAAAAAUUAGAGUGUUCAAAGCAGGCUUAUGUCUGAAUACAUUAGCAUGGAAUAAUAGAAUAGGACGGUGGUCCUGUUUUGUUGGUUUCUGAAUCACCGUAAUGAUUAAUAGGGAUAGUUGGGGGCAUUAGUAUUCAAUUGUCAGAGGUGAAAUUCUUGGAUUUAUUGAAGACUAACUUCUGCGAAAGCAUUUGCCAAGGAUGUUUUCAUUAAUCAAGAACGAAAGUUAGGGGAUCGAAGACGAUCAGAUACCGUCGUAGUCUUAACCCAUAAACUAUGCCGACUAGGGAUCGGACGAUGUUAAUUUUUCUUGACUCGUUCGGCGCCUUACGGG
Molecule: ribosomal RNA, 520 nt
Filed under: uncultured Scutellospora
Lineage: Eukaryota; Fungi; Glomeromycota; Glomeromycetes; Diversisporales; Gigasporaceae
Description: SSU rRNA
Rfam family: Eukaryotic small subunit ribosomal RNA
Source: RNAcentral